Molecule: transfer RNA, 71 nt
Filed under: Draco spilopterus
Lineage: Eukaryota; Metazoa; Chordata; Lepidosauria; Squamata; Agamidae
Description: tRNA-Trp
Source: RNAcentral
AAGCUUAGGAUAAAUCAAACCAAGGGCCUUCAAAGCUCUAAACAAGAGUACCAACCUCUUAGCCUCUGCUU